Molecule: long non-coding RNA, 2914 nt
Organism: Harmonia axyridis
Lineage: Eukaryota; Metazoa; Arthropoda; Insecta; Coleoptera; Coccinellidae
Exons: 6
Source: RefSeq, a predicted model, not a curated record
CAGAAUUUUAUGUUCCUACUAGGGAGUAGAAACUAGUUUUCUAUGCAUCUUAGUAGAAACUAACGCCUUAAUGUCAUUGAAACUUUAAAUACUGAUUACUGAACAAAGUAAGAUAUAUGGUUGAAUCAACUAUUAUGAAUAUUUAUAUUGAACACACAGCAUUUUGCAAAUUAAUUGCCGAAGUUAACUGACGGUCUGAGAUUGAAGAAGUGGAAGCAAUUGCUAUAAUAGGCUUUUGACCUGAGGUCUAUAUACUUGAAAUUGUUCCAUUGGUGGAAGCUGAUGGAAUAUUGUCGAAUUCGAUAUUUGACUGAGAUAUCCAUAAGAAAUAUGCCCCCAUAUGAUUGUUUUUCGAAUUUUAAAAGAUGCAAAUAGAAAAUACUUGGACUGAGGGCGUACAAGGUCAAACUUCAUUCAUGGCGUGGUUUCUUCCCAUAAUUAGGACAUUGCAGAUUUACAAACAGAUAACAAGGAUGAUUACAGAGUAUAGGUCGACCAUCUUGAAUUUUGGUCGAAUCGACAGGAAAAAUGCAAGAAACGAUGAUUCAGAUCCCCUACAGGUGUUAUUUGUAAUAGAAAAUACUUGGACUGAGGGUGUACAAGGUCAAACUUCAUUCAUAUCAUGGUUUCUUCCCAUAAUUAGGACAUUGCAGAUUUACAAACAGAUAACAAGGAUGAUUACAGAUUGUCUACUACGAAGAGGUGAAAUUUCAUUUUGGAUCUGAUGGAAACACAACUCAAUGAUUCAUGAUGUCCUAUCAGCUAAUAGAUAGCUAAGUGAUUAUAAAAAUGGAAAACAACGAAACGAAGUUCUAGGAAAAGAAUGAAUCGAAGUUUAUAAUGGCGAAAAGCUGUAACAAGAAGGAAAUCUAUAGAAAAUAAUUCAAUUGGCACUCUUUGGAUGGUUUCCUCAAGUUUCGUUUCUGAUGUGGACACAUAAACCAGAUAUCUAAGAAUUAGUAACCACAAGGAGGAACAGAAAUGAACAAGCGGAAGGUAGCAACGGACUUCAUGCUGAAUCAUCAAUUACUUAUGAUUAAUACUCAGGUAUUUUUAUUUAUUAAACGGUUUUCCAAGAGGUUUCAUUUUGAGUAGCCCGCUAUGUGGGCAGCUAUCACUUUUGAAGCUGUCAUCUUCUGACAUUUGACAAGUAAAAACUACCUCAUUACUAAAAUGGAACGAUAUACGCAUCAACAAUGCAUUUAAAUUGUUGAAAUUCACUCCAAAAUUUUACUGUCACUGUUAGUAAAACUAAAGUAAUUUUGGGUCGUCGUGAAGCUCCUUAUUGGCCGGCAAUCAAAGUUUCUUCCAAGUACGUGGGUAACAACAGUCGCAUGUGGGUUUUCCCUUUUCCAUAAAUGACUAUUUCGAGUAGCAGGUGGCAGUUGAAGUUGUUUGGUUCAAUCAUUUGAUUCGGUAAAAAUAACUAGCAUUUGAUUCAUUUAUUUAUUAAACAUUGAUUUUAUUAUAAAUUAAUAAUUUCCAUGAGAAUUACUCACUAUAUCCAAUCGGAAGAAGCUCUGAAAUAGGGCAAAGGAAAUUGUCUGCAUGCUGUUAUAUUAUUUCCUUAUUUUAAUACGUUAAAACCCAUUAUUUCCGUACUAAGCUUAAAUUGCGUAUCUAAUUUUUUACUCACAAGAAAACUUCAGAGAUGUAUAGAACUCGGUCUAAUCUGCAGUUUUAAAAUUAACAGGUGCCUACACGAAAUCUUGAACGGCCAUAUUUACGAUCCGAUCCUACAUUGGAAAUUUUGAGUUCCUAAGGUCCCUCCGUUCUAAAGUUAUCGUGUGAACGGACGGACGGACAGAAUCGCAUUUGAGGUCGGAUUAGUCGUCAUAGAGUAUAACCUAAUCGUUUGAAGUCAUUCCUUGACUUAAAAUUAAUAAAUUACAAACAUUGUAACGAAGUGAUAGAGAGAUAGGUUUGCUGAGGAGAGCUCGAACAUUGAACUCAAUGUUUCUAUUUUUGGGAACUAUCUAUAUCAGAUCUUUUUUCGAGAUAUGCUAUAAAUUGAGCAUUCUUCAUUUUCAACUUCUUUAUAUUUCGCGUUAUAUUUAUUUACUAUUACUAGUCGUCAAAAAAAAACAUGGAUUCAAGUAUUUAUCCUUUUAUAUGACUUUGAUAUCAAUCUUCCAUAAUUUUAAUGUCCUCAUGAUAUCUUUUCCACUGUUCUUCACUUAAAUGACCCAAGUUUCCUAGAAAGCGAUUAAGAUGACUGUGGAAGAUGUGAACUUUUAAACUCAUAUGCUACAACCAAAAAUUUUAAAAUUUGUAAUUCCGAAGAAAAUGUAAUAGGUACUACUCGAACAAAAUAAUGGAUCUUUAACAAGUUUGAGGACCAUCAAAUAUACUCCAGAUUUCAGUUUUAUCAUGCUAACUAAUCCCAGUAAAUUUUCCUGUCUAGUAUUAAAAACAAUUUCCAACUCGAUUUAAAGCUUUCACAAAUCGCUUCAACAGCCCCCUGCCUAAUAUGCAAAGGCGGAACUAACAUUUUUGAUCUCCAAACCAAAGCUUCGUUGAUUAUGUUUUUUUCCUUAAAUUAUGAUAUCUCGAAUGCCAAUUUUUGUGGAUGCGGUAUUCAUUUUUAGUUCUGAUGUCCUAAAAGCAUAAAAACCGGGAUUAUUUUAUAUUUUCACAACGAUGUUCAAGAAGGUCGUUUACCAUCUUUAAAAUCAAAACAAUUUUGUCAUUGUUGUUUUUGUAUUUGAUUCUUUUCAAAUCUAGUGCAAUUGUUUCAACUUUCUUCUUAGAUAGUAACGAAUUGAACAAUAUUUGUUACCACUACAUACUGCGGUAUGUAGUUGGCCUGCUAGUGUUAGUUCUUUAGUUCUUAGGAAACGUGCAUAAACGCCCUCAUUGAUUUGUUAGCGUUCAAUUCUUAGUUCUUAGGUUUAGUCUUAUAGCGUAUUCGACU